Long non-coding RNA from Aricia agestis (brown argus), 213 nucleotides. RefSeq lists it as uncharacterized. NCBI's taxonomy places the organism in Eukaryota, Metazoa, Arthropoda, Insecta, Lepidoptera, Lycaenidae. The record is from RefSeq and is a predicted model, not a curated record. The transcript is spliced from 2 exons.
AGUUUCAUGCAAGUUUUUAAUCCUUACUCCCUUAUGAAGGCAUCACAAUAUUGGGAUUAUCAUUUCAAACGUUUUUGGAAUGCUUCUAAAGAAAAGUUCAAUAUGAUGGUGAUAACGGAGAGACCUAUAAUGAAGAUAAUAUUAUUUUUAAGUUUAGAUUAUAACCGAGUAAUCUGGUGGUGAGAUGGAGUGAGGAGGGAUGGUUUAAGUGAG